This is a non-coding RNA of Misgurnus anguillicaudatus (oriental weatherfish), 876 nucleotides long. The record is from RefSeq and is a predicted model, not a curated record. Lineage: Eukaryota; Metazoa; Chordata; Actinopteri; Cypriniformes; Cobitidae.
GCAUAGACGAUGAGCAGCUGAGGCAGUGACUGAAGGCGAUGCGUUAAGCUUAAAAAGCUCACUUAAGCGCCUUUAUGUUUCUUUCUUACCAAUUUUAAGCCAACUGAGGAACACCCUUAUCCCAAGUAAUGGUUCGACUACGAUGUUCCGGUAACUUUAAACCACGCCGGGUGUUGAAAAGGUGGCCAGUUUCAGAUGCAUUGAUGUGAUGCAGUGGACAACUGUGAGGAUGAUACAAUCAACAUGUUCCUAAACUGUGAUGCAGAAACACAAUGGGAGGAUCCAUCCGUCUCUGACCACAACUACACUUUAAAAUCACAACUCAACCUGAAGCAACCUACAUCUGAUAUGGGAAAACAAUGGUGCGGUUUCCCGGACAGGGCUUAUGCUGGUCCCAGGCUAAAAUGCAUAUUUGAGCUACAAUAAUUUAAAAACACCUUUUACUGACAUACCUCAACAUAUAUGAGUGCCAUUGUUUUGUCACAAGAUGCGCACCAGUCUUGUUUUUUUGUAGGGUUUGUUUGUAAAAACUAAAAUGUCCUAAUAUAAUUAAAUCCUAGUCCUGUAAACCCUGUCCGAGAAACUGCUUCAAUGUGUUGAGCUGGCACAAAUGUACAUAUCUCUGCUGAGAAACAACCAUCUUUGGUUCAGCUUUACAGAGGGUUGAUAUUGCAUCCAUUACGCAGUCGCCAAGCACUUUACCAAUACAUACACCAACAGCUUCCAGAUAAACACUUGGGAUCAGCUCCUGAUGACUCCGAUAAAGCUGUGUCUUAAUUUAUUGCAGGAUGGUCUUGCUUUACCUGUUGUAAAGUUACAUUAAACCUUCAUAUGUGAUCAGAUGUCAUGCAGUGAUAUUAAACAUUUACAGUGUGA